AGGAGGAAGGCCGGUCUUAGGUGUGAAGGGUGCUGACGCGUUCUGGCGCCUUGCGGUGUCACACUUGGCUUCCGAGCGAUGCCCUCCGCCGGAACGGGUUUUCCUCAGCUGUGAAGCGUGGCUGCGGCCUGCCCGGGCUGUCGCCCGCCGGGACGGUUCAGACGCCCGAGCCCAGCGGGCCUGGGCCUCCGCUGUCGGGCCAGGCCGGUCGCUCCGGGGCUGGGAGUUACCGCACCGGAGUUGGGGCGGAGAAGGCGAACUGGUUGAAUUCAAACCGGUUAAGCAAGCGCAGCAGUGUGUGUUCUUGGAUCAUAGUAUUUCAUGUAAACAUUUUUAUUUAAGAGGAACAAAAGGGAAAAUACUAACCGUUUUCAAGCAUCCAAGGGCGAAAUGCUUCAUCUCUGGGAUGGAGUAGAGGAGUAGCCUCUAAGGUUGAGUUGCAAUCGUGGGUGCAAGAAGUAUGGGUGAAGCAGAGUACAGUGCCGGAACAGGGCGGAAUGGAAUGGCGUGGGCAGUUCAGAAACCCGCGAGGAGUCCAGGACGGAACAGAAGAGAACAGAUAGAUAAAUGAGCACAGAGGGAGGAAGGCCAUUUGGAGACAGAAGCAGAAGUUGGAGUGAUGCAACUGGAAGCCAAGAAACGCCGCAGAAUGCCAGGAGCCAGCAGAAAUUAAGAAAAGGCAAAGAAGGAUUAUUCCAAAGCACCUUCCGAAGAAGCUUGGCCCUGCCGAAAACCUGAUUUCAGACUUCUAGCCCCCAGAACUGCAAGAGAAUAAAUUUUGUUGUUUUAAGAUGCA
Long non-coding RNA from Macaca mulatta (Rhesus monkey), 796 nucleotides. RefSeq lists it as uncharacterized. The record is from RefSeq and is a predicted model, not a curated record. Lineage: Eukaryota; Metazoa; Chordata; Mammalia; Primates; Cercopithecidae.